UCAAUGCAUUGUUAUUGUUUAUUUUAACUUCAGAUAAAAACAAAUGCCAAUUUUGUUGCCGGGAUUUAAACAAGAAUUGCCACGAAUUUGGGGUGGAUAAUCAGUCUGGACUACUGGGGUACAGAACAUAUUGUUUAAAUUGUGACAAGAGCAUCAAUAAUAUAUGUCAGCAAUGUAUGUGUCCUAUAUAAGAUUUCUUUUUAUAGGCAAAAACUAGAAAAGAAUAACGUCUGAUCAAAACAGGAAAUUCUUUGAAUUUUUGGAAUUUAUGGAAUUGCUUACUGUACGUGCUGAAGAGAUCAAAUUGUGAGUUCUUUUUCUAUGGGAUCUAAUCAGGUAUGGACCGAUUCCGAUCAUACACGCUAUAGUACUUGGAGUUCGAAAAAUACAUCAUUGUGCAAAUUUUAGAACGUCAAGAAGCGAAAUCGGGAUAUCCAACGAUUCUUGGUAUAGAUGUUGUAAGCCAUAAUAAAACUCAUGGUACAAAAUUUCAUUCGAA
Stomoxys calcitrans (stable fly) is the source of this 499-nucleotide long non-coding RNA. RefSeq lists it as uncharacterized. The transcript is spliced from 3 exons. The record is from RefSeq and is a predicted model, not a curated record. NCBI's taxonomy places the organism in Eukaryota, Metazoa, Arthropoda, Insecta, Diptera, Muscidae.